CGAAGGGUGCAAGCGUUACUCGGAAUUACUGGGCGUAAAGCGUGCGUAGGUGGUUUGUUAAGUCUGUCGUGAAAUCCCCGGGCUCAACCUGGGAGUGGCGAUGGAUACUGGCAAGCUAGAGUGAGGUAGAGGAGAGUGGAAUUCCCGGUGUAGCAGUGAAAUGCGUAGAGAUCGGGAGGAACAUCAGUUGCGAAGGCGGCUCUCUGGACCAUCACUGACACUGAGGCACGAAAGCGUGGGGAGCAAACAGGAUUAGAUACCCUGGUAGUCCACGCCCUAAACGAUGCGAACUGGACGUUGGGCUCAAUUAGGAGCUCAGUGUCGAAGCUAACGCGUUAAGUUCGCCGCCUGGGGAGUACGGUCGCAAGACUG
Molecule: ribosomal RNA, 372 nt
Filed under: uncultured organism
Description: bacterial SSU rRNA
Rfam family: Bacterial small subunit ribosomal RNA
Source: RNAcentral